RNAcentral lists this long non-coding RNA (3015 nucleotides) under Olea europaea (common olive). RNAcentral's name for it is "long non-coding RNA (OEUR_LNC006020)". The record is from RNAcentral. Lineage: Eukaryota; Viridiplantae; Streptophyta; Magnoliopsida; Lamiales; Oleaceae.
UCCCAAACACCCUCUAAAUCUGUUUGUUUCCCAUUUAUUUUGGCCAAACGGCUACAAAUAAUUUGUGUGACAACCCAUGUGACUUAACCAGAGAAUAUGACAUUACCCUUUCCACUUCUUGCCCUUCUCCACCGACAAAUCACCAAAACCCAUUUGGGAUAGAGACAACUAGCAAGAAACCAACAACGGUCGAAGACAAAUUCAAGAUUCCAGUGGAAUGCCGUCACCCACACAACCAGCAGAUGAAACUUCUAGUUCCCUUAAGCUCUGGAGAGCACGUCUCAUGGAAGAGCCGUCAACGUUGUCGCCCAACAGAUUGUAGUCGCCUGUAAGGUUAGCUACCUUCUUUGAGCUCGCAUCUCCGCCAACCAAAUGGAUCCCAUCGACACACAGGUACUUCGUUGGUCUCCAACAUUUGUAACACACUCGUCGUCAUUUAUCUGGUUUUUAACAGAAAUUUUUUUCCUUGUGGAACAAAAGGCAUCCCUAAGCGGAUUACUAUGUUAUAUUUGUAAGUGUUAUGCCCUAAAUCCAAUCAAUCUUGGACAUAAAUACUUUUGAUAUAUAAUUAAUGCAAUUUAAUGACAGAUCUAUUAUUUAAUUAAUAAACUUAUUUAAUUAAUAAACAAUUAAAUUAAAUAAUAGAGUACGUAGAUUCAAAUUUUCGUAAUUUGUUAAUCACAAGGAGUUGUGAGUGUGAGAUACAAAUUACAUAUGAUUGAAUCUUAAAUCGUCCGUGGUCAUAAGUAAUAACGAGAUAUGGAUAUCAUUAUUACGGAUAGACCAUCACGUGUGACAUUUCUUACUUCUGAAGUAAGUAACUGAUCUCACAAAUUAAAGUGUGGUGACACUUAAAUGAACACGUGGAUAUUUUGUUAUAGAACAAAAUAUUGGAGACCUGUCGAGAGAUUUCACAUGGAUAACUAUCUGAGUGUCAGUGGUUAAUAUCUAACGUUCGGGAGUGGGAUUGGUCAUUUUGACUUGAGGUCGUCAUAGUACCUUAUAUGAGGACGGUCAUGCUUUAACAGUGUUGGAUGUUACUCUGCCAAGGGCCGCUAAUACGGCAUCAUUCGGGUAUAUCAAGAAUCAUAUGAAAGUUGUGAAUGACCAAUAAAGGAUUUGUUAUUCUUAGAUAGUAAGAAAUUAUGAUCUGCGUUUCAUUCAAUUAAGUCAAUAACGAAAUCAUUGGCCAAUGUGUACUCAUAAGUUGAAAAUGAGUUUUCGACUUACAUUGACUUAAUAGUGGAGUGAAAGAUAUGAUCGAUAAUCGAGAUUGACACACUUUCAUAUCUCGUAAUUGAUUGGAUCAUAUUGACGAAGGGAUUAUAGUUUCACGGUAAACGAACGAAUUUGAUUUUGUUAUACCACGUGACAUUUCUCGUCACAUGUAUAGCCCUGACAUAUUAUUAGAUGUCAAUCUGGGACAGCGAGUGUGAUUGGUGAUAAAUUAAAAUGGUGUUUUAAUUUAUCAAUUUUAAUUAGAUCAAAAUAAUAUUUCACGUCGUUGGGUAUCGUGAUCGGAACUUGAUGGGUCACACACAAAAGGAGAACUGGAAGAUUGUGAUUUGUCAAUUAAUUAAUUUACAAGUGUUGAAUAAAUUAAUUAAUUGGGUUGCUUAUUUAUAGGCUUGAAUUGAUUAAUUGGAUUAAUUAAUUCACGGAUCGAAUUUAAUUAAAUGAGUUAAUUAAAUGUUGGACCGGGUCAGGUCAAGCCCGUUCGGGUUUAUAUAAAUAUGAUUAGAGUUUUCAAAUUUGUAGUGAUUUUUCAUUAUUCUUGCUAGUAUAAGAAAAUCCUUAAUAUUACAAUCUUGUUCUCUAUGUGGAUCACUGUUGGAGGCUGGACAAUUGGACAGAUGUGGGUGGCGAAUCAAGAUCAUUGGAACAAAGAAAAGGGGUUUGCAGAUCUAGAAAAAUGUAUGACUUUUAUCACAAUUUUCAUCUAAACACAAAGAUGAAUCCAGGUGAGAAUCGAAAAUUAUUUUAAUUUUCGCUGCGCAUGUUAAGUAGAUUCUCAAUAGUGGUAUCAGAGUCUACUUUGUAUUUGUUAGAGAUUAUUUUGAAUUUUUAGGCAUAAUCAAAAGUUGAUUUUGUUAUUUUCACAGUUUCUAGCAAUUAAAUAUAUAUAUUCAAAAUCUGAUUUUGAAAAAAAAAAAAGAGGAGGUUGAAUCGGACAUGUAGGUCGGCGCCUCACCGGCGAUAGAGCUCGUUGCCCGGGCAAUGAAAGGUAGCGCCCGCAGCCCGAGUGACGCAAGGUAGCGCCCUGCUCGUUACUGCUACAGUAGCACCGGUGGCGAGAAGUUGCCGCUGUUGGACAGCGGCUGCUUCUGCUACAAAAUCAAUGGACAGCGACCGACGUUGCCCUAAAAAGAAGACGAAACAGGUGGAAAUUAUAGGAUUUCAAUUGGGUGAAAAUUUUAGGGUUCACAGUCGAUUUCAAUUGAAAAUGGGGGCUUGCAUUGUAAUUUCUGAAAUUUAAAGGGGCUGCCUGUAAUUAAAGAAAAAUGUCAAUUUGUAAACUUUAGAUAAGGGACCGUUUUGUGUUAUUUAAUAAAAUUAGGACCCUUGCUUGCAAUUACACUUCAGUGGUAAGUAUGUAAAUAAUGUAAUGAGGGCCUUUUCAAUAUUUGAGAAAUUGGAGGGGCCUAUUUGGUAUUUUUAAAAUGGGUCAAAUAGAAAAUUUUCAAAAGUGUUUUGAAUUUAAAUUUAGAAGUGUUUUAAAUUUGAUUUUCAAAUAUGGUUUGACCGGUAUUUUCAAUUUUGACCCAAUUAGAAUUUUAUUUAAAACUGACUACUUUUUAUAUUUUCGUUAAAAUAUGAUUUUAACUUAAAUAUUAAAUUUGACCCUGAAUUGAAUUUUAUUUUAUUAAUUCAAUUUAAAUUAGAGUUGGACUCUAAUUUAAUACUUAAUUGAAAUUUGAUUUUAAUUAAUUAUUCACCCGAUUAUAUUUUUGAAAUUAGAAUUGGAUUCUAAUAUGAUAUUUAAUUAAAAUUUCAUUUAAUUAAAUUGUGUCACCC